This 253-nucleotide ribosomal RNA is filed under the name uncultured bacterium. RNAcentral's name for it is "partial 16S ribosomal RNA". It matches the Rfam family "Bacterial small subunit ribosomal RNA", at positions 524 to 776 of the family's 1533-position model. The record is from RNAcentral.
UACGUAGGUGGCAAGCGUUGUCCGGAAUAACUGGGCGUAAAGCGCAUGUAGACGGCAUGAUAAGCCAAAUGUGAAAUGUAGGGGCUCAACCCCUACACUGCGAUUGGAACUGUCAAGCUUGAGUGCAGGAGAGGCAAAUGGAAUUCCCAGUGUAGCAGUGAAAUGCGUAGAGAUUGGGAGGAACACCAGUGGCGAAGGCGAUUUGCUGGACUGCAACUGACGUUGAGAUGCGAAAGCCAGGGGAGCAAACGGG